RNAcentral lists this ribosomal RNA (508 nucleotides) under uncultured bacterium. RNAcentral's name for it is "partial 16S ribosomal RNA". It matches the Rfam family "Bacterial small subunit ribosomal RNA", at positions 28 to 507 of the family's 1533-position model. The record is from RNAcentral.
GACGAACGCUGGCGGCGUGCCUAAUACAUGCAAGUCGAACGCUUCUUUCCUCCCGAGUGCUUGCACUCAAUUGGAAAGAGGAGUGGCGGACGGGUGAGUAACACGUGGGUAACCUACCCAUCAGAGGGGGAUAACACUUGGAAACAGGUGCUAAUACCGCAUAACAGUUUAUGCCGCAUGGCAUAAGAGUGAAAGGCGCUUUCGGGUGUCGCUGAUGGAUGGACCCGCGGUGCAUUAGCUAGUUGGUGAGGUAACGGCUCACCAAGGCCACGAUGCAUAGCCGACCUGAGAGGGUGAUCGGCCACACUGGAACUGAGACACGGCCCAGACUCCUACGGGAGGCAGCAGUAGGGAAUCUUCGGCAAUGGGCGAAAGUCUGACCGAGCAACGCCGCGUGAGUGAAGAAGGUUUUCGGAUCGUAAAACUCUGUUGUUAGGGAAGAACAAGGACGUUAGUAACUGAACGUCCCCUGACGGUAUCUAACCAGAAAGCCACGGCUAACUACGUG